RNAcentral lists this ribosomal RNA (501 nucleotides) under uncultured Glomus. RNAcentral's name for it is "SSU rRNA". It matches the Rfam family "Eukaryotic small subunit ribosomal RNA", at positions 591 to 1092 of the family's 1831-position model. Lineage: Eukaryota; Fungi; Glomeromycota; Glomeromycetes; Glomerales; Glomeraceae. The record is from RNAcentral.
CCAAUAGCGUAUAUUAAAGUUGUUGCAGUUAAAAAGCUCGUAGUUGAAUUUCGGGAUCAAUAUUUCGGUCAUGCCGUUGGUAUGCACUGUUAUCAUUGAUUUCUCACCUUCUAAAGAACCGAAAUGCCAUUAAUUUGGUGUUACGGGGAAUUAGGACUGUUACUUUGAAAAAAUUAGAGUGUUUAAAGCAGGCUCGCGCUUGAAUACAUUAGCAUGGAAUAAUGAAAUAGGACGUUUGACCCUAUUUUGUUGGUUUCUAGGAUCGACGUAAUGAUUAAUAGGGAUAGUUGGGGGCAUUAGGAUUCAAUUGUCAGAGGUGAAAUUCUUGGAUUUAUUGAAGACUAACUACUGCGAAAGCAUUUGCCAAGGAUGUUUUCAUUAAUCAAGAACGAAAGUUAGGGGAUCGAAGACGAUCAGAUACCGUCGUAGUCUUAACCAUAAACUAUGCCGACUAGGGAUCGGAUGAUGUUAAUUUUUUAAUGACUCAUUCGGCGCCUUACG